Coregonus clupeaformis (lake whitefish) is the source of this 271-nucleotide long non-coding RNA. RefSeq lists it as uncharacterized. The record is from RefSeq and is a predicted model, not a curated record. Lineage: Eukaryota; Metazoa; Chordata; Actinopteri; Salmoniformes; Salmonidae. The transcript is spliced from 3 exons.
CACCGGUGAGCAUGAUGACCAGCCCGACACCACACACCACUGGCUCAGAAUACAGACUGAAGCCCAGCAACAGGGCCCAGAACAUCAGGAUUACAAUGGUGGCAGUACACUGCAAGACAAAGAGAGAUCGAGAGAUCGAGAGAUCGAGAGAGAGACAGAGACAGAGACAGAGACGAGAGGGAUGUGCCUCAAUCCAAAGGCAGCAUUCCUGUGGAUUGAGACACAGCCUAGAAGACAUUUUUCCCAGGGUUGACCCCUCAACUCUAUUCCA